This 622-nucleotide ribosomal RNA is filed under the name uncultured bacterium. RNAcentral's name for it is "bacterial SSU rRNA". It matches the Rfam family "Bacterial small subunit ribosomal RNA", at positions 202 to 842 of the family's 1533-position model. The record is from RNAcentral.
CAAAGGAGCAAUCCGCUGAAAGAUGGGCUCGCGUCCGAUUAGGUAGUUGGCGGGGCAACGGCCCACCAAGCCGACGAUCGGUAGCCGGACUGAGAGGUUGAACGGCCACAUUGGGACUGAGACACGGCCCAGACUCCUACGGGAGGCAGCAGUGAGGGAUAUUGGUCAAUGGGGGAAACCCUGAACCAGCAACGCCGCGUGAGGGAAGACGGUUUUCGGAUUGUAAACCUCUGUCCUCUGUGAAGAUGAUGACGGUAGCAGAGGAGGAAGCUCCGGCUAACUACGUGCCAGCAGCCGCGGUAAUACGUAGGGAGCAAGCGUUGUCCGGAUUUACUGGGUGUAAAGGGUGCGUAGGCGGCUUUGCAAGUCAGAAGUGAAAUCCAUGGGCUUAACCCAUGAACUGCUUUUGAAACUGCAGAGCUUGAGUGGAGUAGAGGUAGGCGGAAUUCCCGGUGUAGCGGUGAAAUGCGUAGAGAUCGGGAGGAACACCAGUGGCGAAGGCGGCCUGCUGGGCUCUAACUGACGCUGAGGCACGAAAGCGUGGGUAGCAAACAGGAUUAGAUACCCUGGUAGCCCACGCUGUAAACGAUGAUUACUAGGUGUGGGUGGACUGACCCCAUCC